Molecule: ribosomal RNA, 497 nt
Filed under: uncultured bacterium
Lineage: Bacteria
Description: partial 16S ribosomal RNA
Rfam family: Bacterial small subunit ribosomal RNA
Source: RNAcentral
GAUGAACGCUGGCGGCGUGCCUAAUACAUGCCAAUCGAGCGAACAGACGAGGAGCUUGCUCCUCUGACGUUAGCGGUGGACGGGUGAGUAACACGUGGAUAACCUACCUAUAAGACUGGGAUAACUUCGGGAAACCGGAGCUAAUACCGGAUAACAUGUUGAACCGCAUGGUUCAACAGUGAAAGACGGUCUUGCUGUCACUUAUAGAUGGAUCCGCGCCGCAUUAGCUAGUUGGUAAGGUAACGGCUUACCAAGGCAACGAUGCGUAGCCGACCUGAGAGGGUGAUCGGCCACACUGGAACUGAGACACGGUCCAGACUCCUACGGGAGGCAGCAGUAGGGAAUCUUCCGCAAUGGGCGAAAGCCUGACGGAGCAACGCCGCGUGAGUGAAGAAGGUCUUCGGAUCGUAAAACUCUGUUAUUAGGGAAGAACAAAUGUGUAAGUAACUAUGCACGUCUUGACGGUACCUAAUCAGAAAGCCACGGCUAACUACGUG